Molecule: small nucleolar RNA, 134 nt
Organism: Loxodonta africana (African savanna elephant)
Lineage: Eukaryota; Metazoa; Chordata; Mammalia; Proboscidea; Elephantidae
Product: small nucleolar RNA SNORA84
Source: Ensembl
GCCCUGUGGUUACUGGAUGCUGUUGUGCAGGUACAGCUCUCCAGUGGAUAGCAAUGGGCCAGAGCAUUACUGUGAUGUAUGCAUGGGGGCUGUUCCUCCUCAGCAGCCGCCAUAGCCCGGUCACUGGUACAUGG